This 468-nucleotide ribosomal RNA is filed under the name uncultured bacterium. RNAcentral's name for it is "partial 16S ribosomal RNA". It matches the Rfam family "Bacterial small subunit ribosomal RNA", at positions 28 to 507 of the family's 1533-position model. The record is from RNAcentral.
GACGAACGCUGGCGGCGUGCUUAACACAUGCAAGUCGAACGGAAAGGCCCUGCUUUUGUGGGGUGCUCGAGUGGCGAACGGGUGAGUAACACGUGAGUAACCUGCCCUUGACUUUGGGAUAACUUCAGGAAACUGGGGCUAAUACCGGAUAGGAGCUCCUGCUGCAUGGUGGGGGUUGGAAAGUUUCGGCGGUUGGGGAUGGACUCGCGGCUUAUCAGCUUGUUGGUGGGGUAGUGGCUUACCAAGGCUUUGACGGGUAGCCGGCCUGAGAGGGUGACCGGCCACAUUGGGACUGAGAUACGGCCCAGACUCCUACGGGAGGCAGCAGUGGGGAAUAUUGCGCAGUGGGCGGAAGCCUGAUGCAGCAACGCCGCGUGCGGGAUGACGGCCUUCGGGGUGUAAACCGCUUUCGCCUGUGACGAAGCGUGAGUGACGGUAAUGGGUAAAGAAGCACCGGCUAACUACGUG